GGAUCAUAGAAAACUAGCCCUCCAGCUAUGUUUGCCAAUAGAACCUCACCACUUUGCCUAAAUGCAACUAACCUUCGUAUCCCUGCCAAAUGUGAAAUAUUGAAAAGAUUGGUCCAAGAUCCUGGAACACCAUAUUCUUUCAUCUUCCAAACUGAAAAGCAGCCUUCCUCAGUCAAUUUCGUAAUAGCAACCAGCAAAAGUGAUCCAUCAGAAACUGCAACAUCAAUAAAGUGAUAUUUCUUAACCAAACAAUCUGGUACCUCCAUUU
Molecule: unclassified non-coding RNA, 268 nt
Filed under: Hevea brasiliensis (rubber tree)
Lineage: Eukaryota; Viridiplantae; Streptophyta; Magnoliopsida; Malpighiales; Euphorbiaceae
Source: RNAcentral